GUCCACGCCCUAAACGAUGAUCACUGGGUGUUCGGGGAGCGAUCUCUGAGUACCGAAGCUAACGCGUGAAGUGAUCCGCCUGGGGAGUACGGUCGCAAGAUUAAAACUCAAAGGAAUUGACGGGGACCCGCACAAGCGGUGGAUGAUGUGGAUUAAUUCGAUGCAACGCGAACAACCUUACCUACCCUUGACAUGUCCGGAAGGCCGCCGAGAGGUGGUUGUGCCCGAAAGGGAACCGGAACACAGGUGCUGCAUGGCUGUCGU
RNAcentral lists this ribosomal RNA (264 nucleotides) under uncultured bacterium. RNAcentral's name for it is "partial 16S ribosomal RNA". It matches the Rfam family "Bacterial small subunit ribosomal RNA", at positions 793 to 1055 of the family's 1533-position model. The record is from RNAcentral.